AUUGAACGCUGGCGGCAGGCCUAACACAUGCAAGUCGAACGGAGUGGCGAACGGGUGAGUAACACGUGGGUGAUCUGCCUUGCACUUCGGGAUAAGCUUGGGAAACUGGGUCUAAUACCGGAUAGUGCAAGAUGAGGUCGCGGCCUAUGAGCUUGUUGGUGGGGUAAUGGCCUACCAAGGCGUCGACGGGUAGCCGGCCUGAGAGGGUGUACGGCCACAGUGGGACUGGGAGACGGCCCAGACGCCGACGGGAGGCAGCAGUGGGGAAUAUUGCACAAUGGGCGGAAGCCUGAUGCAGCGACGCCGAGGGGGGGAGGAAGGUCUUCGGGUUGUAAACUCCUUUCGACAGGGACGCGGUACCUGGAUAAGAAGCACCGGCUAACUACGUGCCAGCAGCCGCGGUAAUUC
This 408-nucleotide ribosomal RNA is filed under the name uncultured bacterium. RNAcentral describes it as "partial 16S ribosomal RNA". It matches the Rfam family "Bacterial small subunit ribosomal RNA", at positions 28 to 526 of the family's 1533-position model. The record is from RNAcentral.